This 1220-nucleotide ribosomal RNA is filed under the name Paenibacillus sp. VMFN-D1. RNAcentral's name for it is "bacterial LSU rRNA". It matches the Rfam family "Bacterial large subunit ribosomal RNA", at positions 1 to 1211 of the family's 2925-position model. Lineage: Bacteria; Bacillati; Bacillota; Bacilli; Caryophanales; Paenibacillaceae. The record is from RNAcentral.
AUGGUUAAGCUACUAAGAGCACACGGAGGAUGCCUAGGCGCUAGGAGCCGAUGAAGGACGUGGCGAACAACGAUACUGCCUCGGGGAGCUGUAAGCAAGCUUUGAUCCGGGGAUGUCCGAAUGGGGAAACCCGGCUGAUGUAAUAGUCAGUCACUUCUGUCUGAAUACAUAGGACAGAUUGAGGCAUACCAGGGGAACUGAAACAUCUAAGUACCCUGAGGAAGAGAAAACAAGAGUGAUUCCGUCAGUAGCGGCGAGCGAACGCGGAACAGCCUAAACCGGUCAGCUUGCUGGCCGGGGUUGUGGGACGUCUCACAUGGAGUUACAAAGGAAUUGGUUAGGCGAAGAGGUCUGGAAAGGCCCGGCAUAGAAGGUAAAAGCCCUGUAGCCGAAAGUCAGUUCCCUCCGAGACGGAUCCCGAGUAGUGCGGGGCACGUGAAACCCCGUAUGAAUCUGGCAGGACCAUCUGCUAAGGCUAAAUACUCCCUAGCGACCGAUAGUGAAACAGUACCGUGAGGGAAAGGUGAAAAGCACCCCGGAAGGGGAGUGAAAUAGAACCUGAAACCGUGUGCUUACAAGAAGUCAGAGCCCUGUUUAUGGGUGAUGGCGUGCCUUUUGUAGAAUGAACCGGCGAGUUACGUUCCCGUGCAAGGUUAAGGUGAGAAGCCGGAGCCGCAGCGAAAGCGAGUCUGAAUAGGGCGACUAUAGUACGUGGACGUAGACCCGAAACCGUGUGAUCUACCCCUGUCCAGGGUGAAGGUGCGGUAACACGCACUGGAGGCCCGAACCCACGAAUGUUGAAAAAUUCGGGGAUGAGGUGGGGGUAGCGGAGAAAUUCCAAUCGAACUCGGAGAUAGCUGGUUCUCCCCGAAAUAGCUUUAGGGCUAGCCUCGGUUUUGCAGUCGUGGAGGUAGAGCACUGAUUGGGUGCGGGGCCCGCAAGGGUUACCAAGCUCAGUCAAACUCCGAAUGCCAUCGACUGAUCGACCGGGAGUCAGACAGUGAGUGCUAAGAUCCAUUGUCAAAAGGGAAACAGCCCAGACCAUCAGCUAAGGUCCCCAAGUGUGUGUUAAGUGGGAAAGGAUGUGGAGUUGCACAGACAACCAGGAUGUUGGCUUAGAAGCAGCCACCAUUGAAAGAGUGCGUAAUAGCUCACUGGUCGAGUGACUCUGCGCCGAAAAUGUAACGGGGCUAAACACACCACCGAAGCUAUGGCUUGAA